Long non-coding RNA from Chiroxiphia lanceolata (lance-tailed manakin), 12307 nucleotides. RefSeq lists it as uncharacterized. The record is from RefSeq and is a predicted model, not a curated record. Lineage: Eukaryota; Metazoa; Chordata; Aves; Passeriformes; Pipridae. The transcript has 3 exons.
UCUUUGUCAGGGGUAUAAUUUGGGACUAAUUAGUUCUCAGCUCUCAGGCCUCACAAAGGAGCGUCAGCACCUGGUGGACUCUAUUUGCUGAAGCCCUUAUGAAAUGGGAACACGUUCCUCUUUCAUCUUAUUGCACAAAUAAUUAGAAUAACUUAGCCAGAGUCCCCCUGGGAUGCAGUUUGUGUUGAAAACACUUCCCUGCAGUGACUGGCUAUUUUGGCAGCCAGUACAGAGGAGCUGGAGGGGCUGAGACCUCUCUUGCCUGUGGACAGUGCCAGCCCUUCCUCUGUGUCCCUGUGGGCUCCAAUCCUUUCUAAUCCAAUCCCUCUAAUCCUUCCCUGUGUUUCAGAAUUGUGUCUCUCCCAGAGAUCAGCUGAAAAGAAGGGUGGCACAGGAUGUUUGUGAAUGCAGCAGCUCCUCUAAUGACAGCUCUGGGUGUGGCACAUGGUGCGUGCCCUGGCCUGGGGGACACGGGGGCCUCUCGCCUUUGUCAGACCCUUCAGCUCUGGGUGGUUCUGGGUCACCCCAAGAGCUCUGCACAACAGAGUGCUCAGUGCACUCACUUUGCUCUGGGGGACCUCAGCAUCUCUGAGGCCAGUGGAGUUCAACAGUAAAGGUAACACCACCUGAGUCAAGUGAUUCUGCACAUUGAAAGGUUGAAUCCCAUUUUUGUCCAUAGAGAGAAAGAUCUUUGAGAUCUCUCACUUAUUUUCAGUGUGACAUCUUGUCACAAACAGACGUGGAAUGUUUCACAUCUCUGGGAUUUCAACCAGUAGCAGAAUCCCCUCACACCCAUUCGAUUGCUGCCUUGGGUGAUAAUUUCCCUGCUUUUAAUGGAUGUGCACAUUAAGGUUGAGUUACAGUUGCUGUGGGAACUAUAACUUUGAGGUUUACGAUUCAAAAAGAAGAGAAAGAGUAUAUUUAUAUACUUUAUUUUGCUUAUGAAUCAACAUGUUAAUAUUGAUGCAAUGGGAGAAGAAAGAGAAACAAACUUCUAAACAGAAAGCGUAACAUCAAACACUGAUCUGUUUAUUUUCCCUUCUGCAAUGUUCCUCUAACAGGCAGAAUGCCCACAACAAAAAGGAACAAUUAUAAACUAGGAAGCACACGAAGUGGAAGAAAGAAAGCAACAGACAGCUGAGAGGUUAAAUGAAUUUGUUAAGAGAUAAAAUGUUUGCACUUACCAGUCAUAGGUCACCACAUGCCAGGAACCUCAGUGUAAAACCAGCCAAUAACUUGAGGCACUGAGAUUGGUGAGUCCAGGACUUACUGUGGGCAAUUCAAGUCACGCUGCUGCUGUUCAGGGGAGUUGUGGGGAUGCAGGGAAACAAAACAGACACUGAAAAGCACAUCAGGGAGACCUUAACUCUGUUUAUGGUGCCUCUCCCACUGCCCUGGGGGAGCUCACAGGUUUGUGAAUUCAAAGCAGAAAGUUUCAUUCCUCACAGGCUCAGAGGAGCUGGAACAUGUUUGUGGGAGGCUCAGGCAGAAGACUGCAUUACAUUCCCAUUUUCCAUGUCUCAGAAUGAGGAAUCUGGGCUUGGUCUCGUACUGGUGUUAAGUCAGGAGGAACUUUCUUCAAGUUAAUGGUGUUAGAUGGAAUAAAUCAGGAGUAAUGGGGAAGAACCAGGCUGUGCAGUGCACUACACAGUGAAACCAAUACUGUGUCCUAGUCACGGGCUGAUAUGAUGUAGAAUCUCGAGCACAUUCCGUGUACACCCGGCACCUUUCUAGCAUGGCUACUUCUGAUGGAGCCACAAAGUUAUCUUUUUUCAAUUUAUCUCUAAUUUUAAAAAAUACAAACCCUUCCCCCCUUACAGCCUGCAGCUACUCCUUCACUGGUCACGCUGCCUCCUGUGAUUUAAUUUGUUAUUGAUUUUCACUGAGGCGGUGUCCGUAACGGAAGCGAAGCAACCCAAAGCACAAAUCACUUAUGAAAAUUGUGACCAGCCUCUUAUCAGCCUGCAAAGAUGAUGAUUAAAAAUGACUGGAAAGGCAAAAUCAAUCAGGCCCCUUCAGAAAGUUGUUUGGGUACACAAAAACAAAAAGCAAAGAUUAGCAAUAUUAAAAUCAGAUUCUGUCAAAUGCUUCAGCUGGUCUCCCAUGUGACAGAAAUAGCUUUGUUUCCCAAACACAGAGCAGGGAUUUAUUUCCUCAGCAGACAGUGAUGGCUGAGGAGGAGUCACUCCAGUGUGUCAGAUAAAUAACGUGUGUUUCCAACAUUAUUUUGCACUCCAAAGCUCACAAAAGUCCUGACGGCCUUUGGGACAAUAAAUCCAGAGAGCGGGUUAUGGAUUUAACAUUUUAGCUCCUGGAUGGCUGCUGUGGGAGAGAUGUCAGCUGUUCACUCUGGUGCAUCAGUGGGUACCCAAACAUGUCCCUGCUCGGCUGGGCUCAGACCCUGCUGUGCUGGAGCCUCUCAGAACUCUGCGUGAAGCUCAGUUACAGCCCUGGGCCUCAUCCCAGCACAGCUCCUGCUGGGGUCAAGCAUGGUCCCAGUGGGGUAUUCCCAGGGUUGCUAUUUUCCCAAGGGCACAGCACGUGGAUAUUGAUAGAUGUAACCUCAGAGAAACCUUGUGAAGCAGUGGAAUUAGCACACACAUGGGCAUCUGACUCGUGCCAGCAUUUAGUGACUCACCUGGUGCAGCCCAGUGUCUCACUCAGAACUUACUGUCAAGGUCCUCCGUGGGGAUAAACUGGUCUAAAUCCACCAGAUUCACUGGAAACGCACUGGCCACACUGAUCUACACCAUGAAAGCUGGGAACUGUGCUCUGAGAUGGAGCUGGGGGGUUGCUGACUGUGAGAAAUAUCCCUCAUCCAGCUCCUGUGGAUGUGCUGUGGUCUGACAGAGCGGGUGACUGCAGGGGGAGACGUCCAGCGAGAUCUCUGCAUCUCCUCCUGUAAGGAAUGAGCGAGUUUUGGGCAGGCCUCUUCUGUUCUUCCCUGUCAAAUGUGCUAGUUCUGCUUUUCCAUUACAUCAGUUAUGGGCACUGCAAAUAUUUGAUUUCAGGGAAACGUGAAAGGAAAGGAAACUACUCCCCUCUGGCUCAGGGUGGGCCGGAUGCGAGUCGGAGUAAAGGAGAUGGGCCGAGAGCUGGGGAAGCAGCUCUCCUGGUUUGUGGAUGAAAUUCCAUGAAUAUGUACAAGACUUUAAUUGGCUCCCACACAUCACUGAGGUGCCUGAAGGCCCAGGCAUCCUGGCUAAUUGUUGUAGACAAUUAAUAACUCAGAUUCUACUAAUUCCAUAUCGCACUGUGCAGCUCAUUACUGGAGCAGAGAGGGAGAUUGUCUGCAAAAGCUGCUGGGAGAGAGGGAGGGUUGGGGGACCCAGGCACAGGGGCAGAGAAGGUCACAACUGGGCUGGCACCACUCUUGGCUCAAACAGCAGAAAGUCACAGCCACAGCAGGGGACAGUGACAGUCUGUCCAUCAGCCUUUGGCUGAGCUCUGGAGUCACAGCGAGGGAGAGCUCUCACCCUGGAAACAGGAGCAGGAUAAUGAGUCUGUGGGUUCAGUAAAGCACACAGCAGACCAAAACACACCCUUGUCCUGUGACCCAGCUUACACAGAGACUUUUCUUGUGGUGGCCCGAAUCCCAUAAGUCAAAAACAUAAUUUGACUCCAUCGUGUCCCACCCACAGGGCGACUGCUGGUGAUGGGAUGAGGCUUCCUGAAGCUUUCAUGAUAACCUGCCACUAAACACAAGUCUCCUUGAGAGGAAACACCAGGAGUUGCAAGAAGGGGAUGUGGCAGCUACCCAGUUUGCUCUGUGUUGCAGGGCCUGGAAUAGAUGUGGACUAUAUGUGGCAGGACUCGUGCUGGCAUCCACCAGGCCUCCCUGAGUGCUCUGGGAACGCUGGAAUCUCUCUCGAGUCAGAUUGGUGUAUAAGUACUCUGAGCAGUGAUGGACCCUGGUUUUCAGAGCCUAAUAAACCUCACUUUUGCUGGGUUUAAUGCACUAGUCACAGCAGCAUCCAUCAAAAGUGAACAACACCUGGCAGAGUGCAGCUCCCUGGUGCUUGAGUGCCCAGGAAAUGGAUGGUGCUCCAAGCCAAGACUUUGCAGGGCUACAUUACAUCUGGAAGGAACUGAUUUUUUAUGGAGUUCCAACAAACUCCUCCAUUAGCUACCUCUCCCUUCCCUUUCCUCCAGCUUUCCUAUACUUGGGCUUGCUGGGACUGUAACUGCACAACUUCAGGGACAUCUGUCUCUGACUCCUAUUUUAUCUUCCUCCUUUUUCUUUCUAUUAGUAUUUUUCCUUCCUAAGCAAGUUUCUUCUCUGCAGCUUUUCUAUCCAUUUUGCAGAAGUUCUAUAGCACUGAUUAUAGGUACCAGUCCUGUGCUGUAGUUUUCAUCUUCUGUGGUACCAUUUUUAAUUCCCUCAGCUGUAUCCUUUACACUUUUCCUCUUUUGACUGUUCUCAUUCCUGUACCCACAUAUUCCCCUGCUUUUUUUCUUUCCUUCCUGUUCUUUUGGACAGCCUGAUCAUGGCAGAAGAGGUUCUGCAAGACCACAGUCAGUCCUGUCUCUGUGGGCUGCAAGGGGCUCAGUGUCCAAUACCUGAUGCCUGGGCUUGGAUUACAAGGGCGAUCCUGGAAGAGAUCCUGGAUGCCCUGCUUUGGAUCAGAGUCAUGUGAGCUACACUGGAUGGUUAUAGACAUCCAAAUAACUGCAAUUCUAAAAGAUAACUGCAGCAAGAAAAACGGGAAAUAAUUAUAAAUGAAUGAAUGUAACAGACUGCUGAUGGGCACUGGUGGAACUUUAAUCUCUGGGCCUUAUUAAAGUAAACACAUCCUUGCCACCCACUAGCUCUGGCCAUUCUCACUGCUUUGCCAUCUGCUGCAGGAUGGAUGGAUGAACAAAAUUUCCAUAAUUUGCAGAAUGUCCUCAUGCAAAGCGCUGUAGGGAUUCUGCUGGUAGUUUCUGGUCUUAUGGUUCUGAGGAGACAAAGCUGGACAUUCACUAUGUGGAGGAGGCCAAACCACUUCCCGUGUAACUUCUUCUCUUUGCAGUUUUGGAACUUGCAGAAUAUUUCCAGAAUUUUGUGAAAAUCUCCUCAUUUUUCCCCAGGGACAAUGAAUUUCCAAAACAUCCCAUGGACUGCAACUUCAACAAAACAAUUCUCUGCCAGCACCUGAGGCAGUCAGGGAAGCAAAACAAACAAGUAAAACCUAAGCCACACACACUCCUUGAGCGUAAUGCAAAUAAAUCACGGAAGUAUUAAGUUCAGUUCUAAAUCUCUCUCUCCAUCUUCCUGUCUUUCAGGCUGUCUGUUUCUUGCCUAAGAAUAUUUUAUCAAUCUGCCAAUCUGGGUUUAUGUGCAGUUUAGCUUUUUCCUAUGGUUUGUGUGUCUGCUUCCCUGCUUAUGCUUCUUACUUUACCUUUCUACCAGUAACACUGUGCUGGUAAACAGGGGCACACCACCAAAAGCAACUGCAAAAGAUACUUUUCCAGCCCCACCUUUUCUCCAUUUUGGGGGCUCUUUUGCAGUGAUGGUUCUAGUUCUCAGCUACAGCUGCACUGGUCCCCACUUCCACACUGGGGGCAGCACAGCUGGGUCUGUCCCUACACACCCAUGGCUGCAUUCCACAGCCUUCCAGUGGGACACAAACCCACUGACUGUGGCAUGAAGGGCUCUGGUGAAUGAUGUGGAGCCACCACAACAGGCAGAGCUGGCCUGUCAGAGCCUGAAGCACCUGCUUUGCAAAAGGCAACCCCAUCUCCUGCCUGCCUGGGCUGCUCAGACACACACGGGGCCCCUUCUCGUGCUCCCUCAGAGAUAACCAGCCCAGCUGUUUGGCUUCCUCACCGAGGCAGAUCAGCCUUUCUCCCACAUCAGCAGUUCAAGCAUCAUGUUCAGACAGAAAUUUCUGCACAGGGCAAAAUACAAAGCUUGCCUGAGAGGAGAUGGAGGGUUUCAAUUACGCUCCGUUUGCUCAGGGUAUGAAAACAGCACAGGCUUUUAUUCUGUUUCAUCAUCUAAGGCAGGAUGCUUGUCUUGGCUCGGUGGAAGGACCCUGAGAUGAAAGGCACACUUAGCUGCUUAGCUCCCCAGUAGAGAGCUGCUGCUGAGAUACCUCUGUGCGUGCUGGUUUAGAGGGGGGACAAAAGAUUAAUUUGCCAAGCAGUACCAUAUAGAACUCCCUGCCACGGGCUGUUUGAAUAGACAGGUAAUAAUGAGUCAUAUGCUCCACUGCUUGGAACUGGCCAACCUUUCUGAGGUCAAAAUGGGACAGGAUUGAUUUAUGGCACCAAUGAAUUUCCUUCGUAAUUUCCCCCCACAGUUAAUUUUUUUCCACAGUGGUAACAUUAACAGGAAAAAUACCUGAUAUAAAUGUGUGGAAUUUGAAUGACAUCUUCUCUUGCAUUAAUCAUUAGGCUGGAAUGUGCCCUGAGUUUGCUGUGUGCACUCUGGAACAUUUCCCAUGUAUUGUUCAGGGCAAUCUACACCAAGAGAGGAGGAUUUGAUUUCAGAUUUGCUCGCAAGGACUUUCUGACCUAGAUCCUUCCUAGGUAUUUUCUGGUUUAUAGGAAUUCUUUGCUCUCUGGUAAUUUUCUGACCCAGACUCACUUCUACAAGCUCUCCUUGUUCUCUAACGAGAGAAGCUGAAGAGAUGGGUAACGUUUCCUUUGUUUCCAAAGUGGUAGUGGGUGUGCACCUUUCCUUCAGUGUGUGAAUGGGUUAGUCUGACUUCUUGUCCUUCUCCUUUUUUUCCUAAUUCUCAUUCUGUUCUGCCUUCCUGGAGCAGGCAUUUCUCCCCCAUGACUCUCAGAAGCACUUUUCUACUGCCACUACCAAUGUGCAAAACUUUCUGAUCAUCCCCACUGCACAGCUGGUGGAAAAGGAGUCAGAAAUGAGGCGUUGCUUAAGUAUAUUUUAAUUACUUCAAAAAGGAAUAUCUUAAACCAUAAAUAUUUCAGCUUAAACUAAUGUAUUUUGGUUCCAGUCAGUGCCUCUUAAAGAUUUGUUUCCAGUGAAGAGCUGAAAUGUUCUGCUGGUACAGUAGAGUGUUUUUUGAGAAGCUCUUUAUUCCUAUUUACAUAUCUGGAAAUAAAUGGCCAAGUAUGAAAAGCCUUGAGUACUCACCGAUUUUCCUGCAUGUAAUGGGAGCUUCAGGUCUGACGCUUAGGGGUUUAAACAUAGAUUUUGGCAUCUGGAUUUGAACUUCUUGGCUUUUUAUGACUGGAAUGCCCUGACUUUUCCCCAGUGCGACUGCUUCUCCUUGUGGUGCGUUCCUCCUUUGGGAUCUUGCCUUCAUCAGAGAAAUAAUUUCUGAAAUGCAUCAGAAGGCUCUGAGUGAUUUUUGUCUGCGACACACAGCAACUGAGAGGACCUGAGACUUCUGCUACAUGAAGGUCAGGCAGCUGUUGGGGCGUUUCUGCCAGUGAAAAUGCAGUUGAAGAGCUCAGUUAACAGCUCUGACUCCAUGGUGUUGAGGGGGAGCUCAGGGAACUGGUAAUGGAAUAUGGCACUCUUUGCCUCUGCUUUACCAGUUAAUAUUCUCUCUGGUGGGUGAUAAGUGAAGGCUACUGCUGGCUGACUGUGAUUUUUGGCCUCCUUGACAUGACCUUGUGGAGUGAACUUAGUUUCUAAAUGCCAGAUUCUGCAGCCUUCCUUCAGUGCUGUACAUGGGGAUGAGCUGGGAGGAGGGAUGUGCAGGCUCUGGGUGGCAGGGGACAGCUUUGAAAAGUGAUUUAGAAAUCACCAAUCAACCUUUCUGAGUUUACCAGCUCUGGGGGCUGAGUGUGGGGAAGGCAAAUGAUAAGAAGAGGCAACAGUUGACAAACAAAUAGCAGCUCAAACACCUCCCACCACCUGUGUGGUGGAGCAGAGGGAGCAGAGGGCUAGAGGAAAGACCAGGUGGAGGUAAUCAGAGUCAUUCAAGAUCCCAAAGUGAACCCUGGAGCUCCAGGAAUAGAGGAACAGAGGUGUCCUCCAGACUGUGAGGUGCCUCAAACUGUCCCCCCUCAAUAGACUGUUACUGUUUAUGUUUCUACUAUCAAUAAUUUGAAGAAAAUCUAUCUAUACUAAAAAAAUCACUUAUUCUGCCACCCCUUUCAUGUUCAACUCUACUAUGAGCUGUGUAGUAGAGUCUGUUUGGGGACAGCUCUUUAGUUGGAGGGCAGGGAAAAUGGUAUUAGAUGCACUACAGGUGGAGGUGAAUCAGAAGAGUUGAACAGUUGCAGAGGGGUUUCUACAGAUGCUGGGGCUCAGUGGGGGGACCAGCUCUGCAGAAAGACACAAGGGAGACACAAGGGAGAUACAAGGCCAAAGAUGAACUCUGGAAUAGGAACAGGAAAAAGAGUUUGAAGGGUUGAGCAGUAUCUGCCACAGGAAGACCAUUAAGAGCAAGGCAACACUAUCCUGGUUCAUCGAUCCCUGCAGGAAAACAGCUGCUGUAUUAGUUCUGCUACCUUCCACCUCAGAGUGGCCUGUAAUGUGCAGUCUCACCAGGAGGCACAGAAAUGGCCUCAUCUCUCUCCCCUCCCCAUGUCCUGUGAUGAGAACACUGAUGUGGAGGAAGGAAUGUCUCGUUCAAGGUCGCACAGUGAGUUAGUGGCAGAACGAGCUGGGUACAAGCCUCAGGGCUUCCCGAGUCCCUGCCCUGCAUCCACUGUGCAUUCACUGGCAUGAGGCAGCUCUGCAAAUCCCACAUUCAUUACAAUACAAUAAAGCUCUGCUGCAUGGGUCUGUUGGGGGUUUUUUGUUGGUUUUUUUUUUCCACAAUGUCUCUCUCAAAAACCCAAGACUGAUUUGCAUUUUAAAACCACCAGUUACAGCUCAGGAAAACGCGAUUCAGUAGUUCCCGGAGCUCAGGAGUAGGGAUGCUCUCUCAGUUUUUCCCUCCCAGUUCCUUUGCCUGAAAUAUAUUUUUGUCCAAAUUGCACAAUACUUACUGCUAAUGUUUAUGCCAUGAAUAUUCAUCACAUCCUGGGGCUCCAAGACUCCAGUGGGAAGGCAAGCACAGGAGGCACAGCAGCCCUGAUCCUCCUACACUCCAUACACACAGGGUAGAGGCAUCGGGGUGAGAAGGCUUGUUUGGUUAGGGUGUGAGCUGUGGGAUACUAAUGCAGUCUGCAAGCCUUUGGGGAAUGCUGGUGAAACUCCAUUAAACAGUGGAGUGGAGGCCUUUUGAACAAACAGCUUCUAUAAAACCAUUAGCUUCCCUUAAUUGCAGAGAAAAGGCCUCACAUGCAGCGGGGGGUUAGAACUUCAGAACACUUUCUGUCUCUCUUUACAUCUGUUUCUUCUUCUCUGGCAAUCUGCAGACUGACCUUCCUUUUCCAGAGAGCCUCAGGACUGGGGAAACUCUUCCUGCCCACAAAACUGUGGGGUUUUGCCUGUCAGCAGUGGUGAUUUAGGUUUCCACAUGUGAAUUUAGGCAGAAGAGCUUUCGUGUCCUGUGCCCUGUGCCCGAGCAGGGGCAGCUGCCCACAGCAGGGCUGGGACACGCUUCCCUUUUCCUGAUGUGGCUGGAGGCUCCCGGGCUCACUGCUGUUCAGAUGGUGCCAUCUGGCUCUCACAAAAUAUAUGAGAAAUGUUAUCCAAUAAAAGAGGGGGCUGGCUGGCUGUGUGCCUUCACCUCUUGCUCUUUGGGGAAGCGAUUGUUUCUGCAUCUGGGAAAUGUUUAACAUAAUUUUUGAGUACUAGUGUUGCCUGAGUAAGGAAUAAUAGGCUGGCAAUUUGAAUUCAGGCCUGAAUCAGUGGUAACUAGAAGCUAUUUUGCUUGGUCAGGGCAGGGCUGAGGUUUAUAAACACACAACACAUAGAAAUAGCUUGUGAUAUGGCUCUGUUAGUUUUAUGGACAGAUAGGAAAUAUCCCUUUCCAUGCUGUUCUGUCAAGCAGGAUGUUUGGAUUAGGAAAGAUAAGGAGAAAAGGUCUCAGUUUUCUGACAGGAAGACACUAGGAAAAAAGAGCACAACUUCAAAAAGGCUGAGGGAAGUUUCUCUACAGAUAAUUUUGUCCCCACUCCCCAUUCUUUUAAUAUGAAAAUAUACUUUAGCUGCAGCUCAGCAUCCUAUAGGGAUUGCCCCUGGGAGCUGAGGGGUGUUGGAUGUACCUGCAGAUUCUCCUGGGACACUUUGCUGGCAGCUGAUAAAAGAGAACCUCUCUGGCCUUGGGGGCUAUUGCCCUUUCUUCCUGGGUUUCUCAAUUAUUUUCUCUCUGCUUUAUUAAGCUUACUGUUGUGUUCAGCCUUCCUUCGAGCCCUGGCUGAGAUCAGGCCCACAGACACAGGUCCUUGGCCCUUUUCCUUGCACCCACAGUCACUCAUGGACAGCAUCACCCUUCAAUCCAGACUCUUCUAACGCCAAGCACAGACUCAUAUCCAUGUACUCAAAUCCUGGUAGCCCUGUGUGUGCUCCAGGGCUGUGCUGACAGACUCUGCAUGUGCUCAUCCAGACACAUUCACAUGGAGGCAUUUCUCCACCCCAAGCCAUGGUGUUUGACAGGAGCUCAGUGCUCAGCUCUUGCCCAGCCCUCUCUGUGGCUGGCUGGGACAAACUCAAAAGCCUUUCGGGCAAUCAGGCAAUAACAGACCUUGUGGAAGCUGAAAGUCUCCCAGACAAAAUUUACAAGGCCUAAGAGAGCCUUCCUGGCAUAAUUUAACACUUUAGUAAUGAGCAUGUGGACAGGAAGGAUUGCUUGGGUAGUUUUAUUCUGCAUAGAUGAGCAGUCAGAAUUUCAAAGAGGGGCCAUAAAUACAAGAGAGCGGAAUGGCCGACGGAGCCUGGGUUUGGUGUGGAAGGCAGUCCUGCUGAGGCUGUGAGGACAUGAAUAAAGGGGAAAGAGUUUUCAUUCAGCUUCCCAGCUCCAAAAGGCAUCCUUUAGCCAGGAAUGGCUUUAGGGAGAGCAGCAAUCCUUUUCCAGCCUGCCUGUGACUGUGCCUCAGUGCCUGUGGCCCGGCAUUUGUGGAUUUGCAGCUGCGCCCCGAGGCUGCAGUACAGUGCUGAUGUCUGUUGGUGUCACACGUGUGUCUGUACCUGUGUGGCUGAGGACAGCAGUGUGCACCCCUCAGCCUCUGUGCUGUUUGCCUGGGCACGUGCACUGCCGAUAAAAGCCAGCAAUAAUGCUAAUUCCUUGUGGAUGCAUUUGCAUUGCUGGUGGAGUCUGCAGUAACACGCUGAAACCUCUGUGUACAGGUCUGUGCAAGUAAUACAGGUACACCUGGAUACAGUUUGUGUUUAUGUGCUGCUCAUACAGACAGUUCUAACUUGUAUCUGAGUAAACAUGCUCAGUGUUGAUGAUUUAAACUAGUAAUGAACUAUGUCUUCCUUUUGGCAGCACAUGCUGUGUGGUUGCACACUUCUGUGAGGCCUCAGGGAGGGAAGUCAUAGCAGUCAGAGGCUGAUGCUCUCUCAGCACAGAGGGGCAGGGAAGGAAAUGUUAAGCCAGAAUGAAAGGAGACUGAAAUCAUAGAAGUUGCCAUGGAGCAGUUACCCCUUCCCAUCCAGAGACCUCCAUCACUGGCAGGAGUGGUGAAAGCCGGUGGAAUGCAGCUUUACUUCAGGAGCCUCAUUAAAUUUGCAUUCCUUGGAGCCCCACAAGGAAGAUGAUGGUCUGGUUUUGUCUGCCUGGCUUCCUGUUCUCUUUGAGUGAUGCAUCAGAGAGAGCUGCUGUGCCUUUGACACAGUUGCCUGCCUACAGACACUCUCAGGUGAUGGACCUGUUUUAUUGUGCUUUCUCUUUCUUAUUGACUUGACAAAUCUAUCUGAAAACUGGGAUGAGGGAUAUUUUUCGUAAGCAAUAACCAUCAACAGUCAAAUAAACGAGUAUAGGGCAAAGAACGUAGCUUAGGCUACAUUAACUCCAUAAUGCAGCCUGAUUAAAAGCCAUUCCCACCAGGUAGUUGUUUAGCAACAAUCCUGCUCUUGCAGAAGUCCACAUCAUAGUAACUGGUCACCCUGGUAAAUAGGCCAAGGAUGGGGGGGAAUGUUUUCUCUUCCUGCCUCCAAAGCCAGAGUGAGUCACAGGAGAGCACACAAUAAAUGAAUGCAAGACCGUUGUAUCCAGCACACUAAUUAAGAGACCGUCUGUCAACACUAAAGCCCCUGUACUCAGGGAUGUCUUUAUCAGAGACAUCCUGAAAGCCCAGGCAAGGGCAAGGCAAGCUCGAUGACCAGCUGUGCAGAAUGCUUUGCUGCACGAGGGGCAAGCAUGAAUGUAUAAAAGAUUGUCUGUACCACCCUAAUUAACACGUCUUUCUACCUCCCAUUUAACGACUCCUACUUAAUUCAGGGGUUGUUGCCGCACACCUCUGCAACUGAACGCAUAGAGAUGUCUCCUGUACAGAGCACUUAUCUAGC